This 2493-nucleotide long non-coding RNA is filed under the name Phocoena sinus (vaquita). RNAcentral's name for it is "lncRNA (ENSPSNG00000006773.1)". Lineage: Eukaryota; Metazoa; Chordata; Mammalia; Artiodactyla; Phocoenidae. The record is from RNAcentral.
GGGACCUCACUACCUCACAUGCAGCCUAAUGUUUGUGAGAACUGCCUCCUUUGUGCUGAGCCCAAAUCUAUCCCUUUAGCUGCCUGAGUCACCACCCCACACCCACGGUUUGCAGAUGAGGGAAGCUGCUCUAGAGAGGAAAAGGGACUUGCCAAUGUCAUACAGUGAGUGGCAGAACCUGAACUAGCCCUCUGGACCUUUUGUCUUCAAGAGUUCUUUGUAAUAAAAUAUAAUAAUUUAAAAUAAAAAUAACUAGUUAGGACCAAGCAAUUUGCUUGGUGUUGUACACUGACUGUGUCACAGCUCUAGCGAGCAGGUUAUUAUCCCAACUUUACAGAUAAGGGAGCAGGCCCAGAGGGGUUGAGGUUUAGCUUAGGGCCACACAACUGGGAAGUCCGGGAGCCAGAAUUUGAAUCCAGGUCUGAUUGCAGAGUUCCCAGCCACCAUGGUGUGCCAUCUCAUGUACAGCAUGGCACCGACUCGACUGUCAGCUCUGAUUAGCCUGCGGGUCAUCUCAGAAAAUCAAAUUUUAAAACUAAGCAGCCAGUGGAUAAGACUCGGUGCUUUCACUGCCAUGGCCCUGGUUCAAUACCUGGUCGGGGAACUAAGAUCCCGCAAGCCUCGCGGGGUGGCCAAAAAUAAAAUAAAAACUAAGCAACCAACAGAGAAAAUAUAUUUGGGUGAGUGCUGGAGAGCUGGUUGGAUUGCAAGUCCAACAGAAUUGAGACUGACUUAUUCUAUCCCCAGGAUCUUAGGAGGAAGACACCCAACUUGUCAGCUGAGGCUCAUAUUACAGAAUCCGCUGGGCUUUGGGAAACUGGAAUGGAGAACUAGGCAGAGACACCUCCCAUCUCUUAUUCGGAUUUCAUCCCAUCCUCCCAGGUUCAGGGAAGCUGGAGAGAGGUCACCGUUCUGGCUUCCCCAACCCCCUUCUCCACCUUAACACAGGGAAGGAGGAAGCAGAGAGAGCGGGAAACACAUCCCACUGAUAUUUACUGAGAACUUACUAUGGGCCAGCCACUGUGCUGGAUGUGAGGAAACUGAGUGACACAAAGUCCCUUCCCUCUUGGAUCCUACAGUUCAGUGGGGUAGACAGAAAUGUAAAAGACAAAAGGAAAAAAUAGGAGUCUGAGAUGGGGGGAUUAGUGGAGAGGUCUUUAAGGAGGUGACAUGUGAGCUGAGCCUUCAGUGACUAGAAGAACCAGGAUGGAGUGGAGGAAGAGCAUUCCAGGCAGAGGAUAGAGCAAGUGCAAAGGCCCUGGGGCACAAGGAGUUUGGCGUGUUCCCAGUAAGAAAGAUCAGCUACAGCGCAGUGAGCCAGGGACAGUGGUGAGAGAUAAGGUCAGGCAGGAUGGGGGACUGGAGUGAGGAAUUUAUAUUUUGGCUUAAAUGCACAUCAGCCCCACCCACUGAGAAACGUGGUCCAAUAGACACCCAUCUCUCUUCAAUCUCUCCAGUCCCAAACGUAAUCCAUCUAUCUAUAAGCAGGAGCCCAGGAGAGGAAGUGGAGGCACUGGAGAUGUUCCUCCAAUAGGACUCCCUCUCACCUCGCAGAAGUGGAGAACUAAGGUUCCUUCUGACAACAGUGAUGGGGGUGGUUAAAAUCCUCCUUGCUGCUCUUCUCACUCAGGAGUGAAGUGAAUCCCACCAGAAAUGUGUUGAUUAGCACAGGGGAGUGCCUGGCCGCCAGGGUCUUCCUUGAGAGUUUCUUUGAUAAAAGACUUUUAAAAAUCCCCUUAAAAUCUGAUCUUGACCUCCCAGGCAUGUCUCCAAGUUAGGCAGGGAACCCAAGGGUCUUCGGGGUGUGAAGUCCCAGCCCUCAUCUCUGCUCUCUCUGUCUCCUUUGUCCUGCCUGUGUCUUCAUUUUUUUCAUCUGUAAAAUAAGAAGGAUAAUAAAAUCUGCAUUGGAGUGUUGUCCUGAAGUUAGUCUACAUUAUCAUCUGCUGGGUUUACUCCAACCUGGCGGGGGCACAGGUAACAAGAGUGAAAAGAUACAACCAGCUUAGAAAUCUAGAAUUCUCCGCCUCAGCCACUGCUCUGGGCUUCCUCCCGUGGACCAGAACCAAACAAACAACCAAAAUGUUGCCUGCCCUUUCAGUCAACGAAGAAUGGUGUCUGCAUUCUGGUAAACAAAACUAUUGCCCACCAUCAAGCCUUCAGCCACUGCAGCUGCCCCAGGACAGUGAGCCCCGAAGGGAAUUCGGGAGAAAAACAGGAUACGCGCCCUAGACAGUUAAGAUGCCCAGACUCUCGCAUCUUCCCAAACACAGAAAAGCACUAAAAUCAUUAACUUGAGAUGUCUGCUUUUUCUUGUGAUUAGCAAUAAUCUUUCGACGUUCUACUACAUGUUUUGUUUUGUUUCCGCAAAAACUCCUAUAGAUCCAGGCUGCUCUCUUACCUCUUUGGAACAGUUCCUCAGAGCGGUCUGAGAGGCUGUAUCUCAGGCUAUAUAGUUCUCAGUAAUGUCCCUGAAUAAAACAUAAUUCUCAGCUU